Molecule: RNase P RNA, 178 nt
Filed under: Pelagibacteraceae bacterium TMED65
Lineage: Bacteria; Pseudomonadati; Pseudomonadota; Alphaproteobacteria; Candidatus Pelagibacterales; Candidatus Pelagibacteraceae
Description: partial RNase P RNA component class A
Rfam family: Bacterial RNase P class A
About the family: Ribonuclease P (RNase P) is a ubiquitous endoribonuclease, found in archaea, bacteria and eukarya as well as chloroplasts and mitochondria. Its best characterised activity is the generation of mature 5'-ends of tRNAs by cleaving the 5'-leader elements of precursor-tRNAs. Cellular RNase Ps are ribonucleoproteins.
Source: RNAcentral
CUAGAUAAGCGACUUAUCGCUUUAAAGUAUUAAAGAGGAAAGUCCGGGCUCUACAAAGACACAGUGCCAGUUAACAACUGGCGGGGGGAACCCCAGGGAUAGUGCCACAGAAAAUAAACCGCCUCAUCAAGGCAAGGGUGAAAAGGUGUGGUAAGAGCACACCGGUUGUUUGGUAACA